UGUUUGGUUUCUUGUUUCGGUCUUGAGACAACAGUUACUCACGACUUUAAAAAUGACAAGCAAGAUUAUGAUUGAUUGAAGUCUGUAAGUCUUGUUUAUGUUCAAAGAUUGGAUAAUUGAAUCUGAUUGUCUAUAUAAUGCUGUCUGGGCAGCAUAACUUCAAGUCUCUGCAUAGAAUUGCCUUCAUUAAGGCUUUUCUAAUGAUGUCGUAAGAACGAGAAAUUCAAUGAUAUGCUUAUAAGACUUGUCUAAUGAUGUCUGAAUGGGGAAUUCUCUUGCAAGGAUGGAGGAAUAAGCAAGCAAGCUGUGAUUAACACUGUAACACUUGUCACAGUUCUAUAUAUUGCUAGGUGGGCAGCAUAACUUCAAGUUUCUGCAUGGAUUUGCCUUUAUUUUAAGGCUUUUCUAAAACUCAAUGAUCUGCAAAUUGAUGGAGAGUAAAUUCCAUGUUCUACUAUAGAACUCAAUGAUCUGCUUAUUGAUGGAGAAUAAAUGUUCUUUUAUAGAACUCAAUGAUCUGCUUAUUAAUAGAGAUAAAGUAUCUUUUAUAAGACUUGUCUAAUGAUAACUGAUUGGAAAAUGCAUUAAAACAUGUAGUUAAUCCUCUUUGCAUAGCUCUUGAAACUCUUCCUGUUAGCGAAGGCACAUCAUUGUGCAACGCUUGAUGGGUCGAGGCUCGAGCAAGGCGAGAAAGGGAGAGAGAGAUAAGGCACCAAAGGUAAGUCAUCACGAAUCUCACUGAGAUAUGAUAUUCAGUGGGACAUUUUGUUCUAACUUACAAUAUUCUGCAUUAAAAAGUCCAACGUGCAGACUGUAUCUUUCCCUCUUUUAAUCAGGUAAGUGUCUCUUUCGCCUUCCAAAACAAGGUAUGAUUUUCGUAAUAUUUUUCCUUGAUGGAGUUUUUAGUUCGUUAAUUGAUUACAACCUUAGAUCACAUAGUCUUUUAUAACUAUUUAUCUGUUUUUUUAGUUUCACAAGACCAAGAAAAUGGAGUAAGUGUACGUGAUCUUUCUCAGGAACCGUAAAGAAGGCAUUGUGUACAUGCGUAAGAU
This 1052-nucleotide long non-coding RNA is filed under the name Arabidopsis thaliana (thale cress). Its description in RNAcentral is "potential natural antisense gene, locus overlaps with AT2G31750 (AT2G31751)". Lineage: Eukaryota; Viridiplantae; Streptophyta; Magnoliopsida; Brassicales; Brassicaceae. The record is from RNAcentral.